Molecule: transfer RNA, 79 nt
Filed under: Bacteroidota bacterium
Lineage: Bacteria; Pseudomonadati; Bacteroidota
Description: Bacteroidetes bacterium (marine metagenome) tRNA-Asp
Rfam family: tRNA
About the family: Transfer RNA (tRNA) molecules are approximately 80 nucleotides in length. Their secondary structure includes four short double-helical elements and three loops (D, anti-codon, and T loops).
Source: RNAcentral
GGGGCAGUAGCUCAGUUUGGUUUAGAGUGCCGGCCUGUCACGCCGGAGGUCGCGGGUUCGAGCCCCGUCUGCCCCGCAA